UCCAAGUGCAGUCCCAGCUACACAGGAGGCUGGGGCAGAAGGAUUGCUUGAAUCCAGGAGUUCUGUGCUGUAGUACCACGUUAUGCACUAAGCAUGUCCAAACUAAGUUCAGCAUCAAUAUGGUGACCUCUCCAGAGCAGGUGACCACUCCAUUGCCUCAGGAGGAAUGAACUGACCCAGGCCAGAAAAGGAGCAGGUCACAACUCCUAUACUGAUCACGAGAGUAGUUGGAGCAUGCCUGUGAAUAGCCACAGCACUCCAGCCAGGACAACACAGCAAAACCCUGUCUCU
This is an unclassified non-coding RNA of Saimiri boliviensis boliviensis (Bolivian squirrel monkey), 291 nucleotides long. It matches the Rfam family "Metazoan signal recognition particle RNA". Rfam says of the family: The signal recognition particle (SRP) is a universally conserved ribonucleoprotein. It is involved in the co-translational targeting of proteins to membranes. The record is from Ensembl. Lineage: Eukaryota; Metazoa; Chordata; Mammalia; Primates; Cebidae.